GGGGCUGUAGCUCAGUGGCAGAGCGCUUGCCUAGCAUGCAUGAGGCAUUGGGUUCGAUCUUCAGCACCA
Molecule: transfer RNA, 69 nt
Filed under: Marmota monax (woodchuck)
Lineage: Eukaryota; Metazoa; Chordata; Mammalia; Rodentia; Sciuridae
Rfam family: tRNA
About the family: Transfer RNA (tRNA) molecules are approximately 80 nucleotides in length.
Source: Rfam by way of RNAcentral